This 677-nucleotide ribosomal RNA is filed under the name Pythium insidiosum. RNAcentral's name for it is "eukaryotic LSU rRNA". It matches the Rfam family "Eukaryotic large subunit ribosomal RNA", at positions 98 to 621 of the family's 3401-position model. Lineage: Eukaryota; Oomycota; Peronosporomycetes; Pythiales; Pythiaceae. The record is from RNAcentral.
GCGGGAUGAGCUCAAGCUUAAAAUCUCUGUGCAGGUUCUGCAUGGCGAAUUGUAGUCUAUGGAGGCGAUGUCAGUGCGGUUGUGCGGGAUAAGUUCCUUGGAAGAGGACAGCAUCGAGGGUGAUACUCCCGUAUGUGCCUGUACAGCUGCGCGUACGACACGUUUUCUUUGAGUCGCGUUGUUUGGGAAUGCAGCGCAAAGUAGGUGGUAAAUUCCAUCUAAAGCUAAAUAUUGGUGCGAGACCGAUAGCGAACAAGUACCGUGAGGGAAAGAUGAAAAGAACUUUGAAAAGAGAGUUAAAGAGUACCUGAAACUGCUGAAAGGGAAUCGAAUCGUUUCCAGUGUCUAUAAUCCAUGACAUAUUUCAUUGGCGCGUGAAUGCGUGCAGCGUUUUGGAAGUGGGUUUCCUCUCCUGGCGUUGUUGUGCGUUUGCUUGCUGGUGCCCUGUGUUGUGGUGGGACGUCAGAGUCAGUUCGUAUGCCGCGGGAAAUGGCUGUCAGGGAGGUAGGUCGCUUCGGUGAUUGUUAUAGCCUGGCAGUUAGUAGUCGUGGUUGGGACUGAGGUGCCUACAACGCGCUUUCGAGUCUGCGGGACUCUCGUCUGGUUGCCUGCUUGGACAGCUUGCUGUGCUAGUGGUCACAUCGGGGCGAUUGAGAUCUGUAGUAACUUGUUGCCGU